UACAUAUGGGGCAAGCGUUGUUCGGAAUUACUGGGCAUAAAGGGUGCGUAGGUGGUCUGUUAAGUCAGGGGUGAAAUCCCGCGGCCCAACCGUGGAACUGCCUUUGAUUCUGGCGGACUUGAGUGCGUGAGGGGUAGGGGGAACGAGCAGUGUAGCGGUGAAAUGCGUAGAUAUCAUUUGGAACGCCAAUGGUGAAAACAGCUCGCUGGGGGUUUGCUGACGCUGAGACACGAAAGCCAGGGGAGCAAACGGG
Molecule: ribosomal RNA, 253 nt
Filed under: uncultured bacterium
Lineage: Bacteria
Description: partial 16S ribosomal RNA
Rfam family: Bacterial small subunit ribosomal RNA
Source: RNAcentral